RNAcentral lists this ribosomal RNA (253 nucleotides) under uncultured bacterium. RNAcentral's name for it is "partial 16S ribosomal RNA". It matches the Rfam family "Bacterial small subunit ribosomal RNA", at positions 524 to 776 of the family's 1533-position model. The record is from RNAcentral.
UACGUAGGGUCCGAGCGUUGUCCGGAGUUACUGGGCGUAAAGCGUGCGCAGGCGGUUCGUCGUGUCCGAUGUGAAAGCCCCGGGCUUAACCUGGGAAUGGCCAUGGAAACUGGCGAACUGGAGUGUGGCAGAGGGGGGUGGAAUUCCGCGUGUAGCAGUGAAAUGCGUAGAUAUCGGGAGGAACACCAGUGGCGAAGGCGACUAUCUGGGCUGCAACUGACGCUGAGGCGCGAAGGCUAGGGUAGCAAACAGG